This 76-nucleotide transfer RNA is filed under the name Nanobdellota archaeon. Its description in RNAcentral is "tRNA-Pro". It matches the Rfam family "tRNA". Rfam says of the family: Transfer RNA (tRNA) molecules are approximately 80 nucleotides in length. Their secondary structure includes four short double-helical elements and three loops (D, anti-codon, and T loops). Lineage: Archaea; Nanobdellati; Nanobdellota. The record is from RNAcentral.
GGGUUUGUAGUCUAGCUUGGCAAGAUUUCCGCCUUGGGAGCGGACGGCGGGCGUUCGAAUCGCCCCAAACCCACCA